This 28-nucleotide small RNA is filed under the name Bombyx mori (domestic silkworm). Its description in RNAcentral is "ovarian small RNA-9065". Lineage: Eukaryota; Metazoa; Arthropoda; Insecta; Lepidoptera; Bombycidae. The record is from RNAcentral.
UGUCUGAAUGAGCUGAAAUCGGCGUUGA